UGGGGGAUAUUGCACAAUGGGCGAAAGCCUGAUGCAGCGACGCCGCGUGGGGGAUGAAGGCUUUCGGGUUGUAAACCUCUUUCGCUAUCGAACAAGGCUCGCUUAGGGUGGGUUGAGGGUAGUUGGAGAAGAAGCGCCGGCUAACUACGUGCCAGCAGCCGCGGUAAUACGUAGGGCGCGAGCGUUGUCCGGAAUUUUUGGGCGUAAAGGGCUUGUAGGCGGCUUGUUGCGCCUGCUGUUAAAACGAGUGGCUUAACUUCGCGCGAGCAGUGGGUACGGGCAGGCUUGAGUGUGGUAGGGAUGACUGGAAUUCCAGGUGUAGCGGUAGAAUGCGCAGAUAUCUGGAGGAACACCGAUUGCGAAGGCAGGUCACUGUGCCAUUACUGACGCUGAGGAGCUAAAGCAUGGGUAGCGAACAGG
Molecule: ribosomal RNA, 420 nt
Filed under: bacterium
Lineage: Bacteria
Description: partial 16S ribosomal RNA
Rfam family: Bacterial small subunit ribosomal RNA
Source: RNAcentral